AUUGAACGCUGGCGGCAGGCCUAACACAUGCAAGUCGAGCGGAUGAAGGGAGCUUGCUCCUGGAUUCAGCGGCGGACGGGUGAGUAAUGCCUAGGAGUCUGCCUGGUAGUGGGGGAUAACGUCCGGAAAAGGGCGCUAAUACCGCAUACGUCCUGCGGGAGAAAGUGGGGGAUCGUCGGACCUCACGCUAUCAGAUGAGCCUAGGUCGGAUUAGCUAGUUGGUGGGGUAAAGACCUACCAAGGCGACCAUCCGGAACUGGACUGAGGGGAGGAUUAGUCACACUGGAACUGAGACACGGUCCAGACUCCUACGGGAGGCAGCAGUGGGGAAUGUUGGACAAUGGGCGAAAGCCUGAUCCAGCCAUGCCGCGUGUGUGAAGAAGGUCUUCGGAUUGUAAAGCACUUUAAGUUGGGAGGAAGGGCAGUAAGUUAAUACCUUGCUGUUUUGACGUUACCAACAGAAUAAGCACCGGCUAACUUCGUG
RNAcentral lists this ribosomal RNA (484 nucleotides) under uncultured bacterium. Its description in RNAcentral is "partial 16S ribosomal RNA". It matches the Rfam family "Bacterial small subunit ribosomal RNA", at positions 30 to 507 of the family's 1533-position model. The record is from RNAcentral.